GCGUAAGCGCACGCAGGCGGUCUGUCUAGUCUGAUGUGAAAUCCCCGGGCUCAACCUGGGAACUGCAUUCGAAACUGGGAGGACUAGAGUCGUUGUAGAGGGGGGUAGAAUUCCACGUGUAGCGGUGAAAUGCGUAGAGAUGUGGAGGAACACCGGUGGCGAAGGCGGCCUUCUGGACUGAGACUGACGCUCAGGUGCGAAAGCGUGGGGAGCAAACAGGAUUAGAUACCCUGGUAGUCCACGCCGUAAACGAUGACUGCUUGGAGGUUGAGGCCUUGAGGCCUGUCUUGCUGAGCCUAAGCGUUUAAUCAACCGCCCGGGGAAUACCGGCCCCAGGGUUGAACUCCAAUGGAUUGGACGGGGCCCCCCCCAACCGGGGAACCUGGGGGUUUAUUUCAAGCCACCCCAAAAAACCUUACCACGCCUGGACUCCCUAUGACUUUCCUAAA
Molecule: ribosomal RNA, 449 nt
Filed under: Enterobacter cloacae
Lineage: Bacteria; Pseudomonadati; Pseudomonadota; Gammaproteobacteria; Enterobacterales; Enterobacteriaceae
Description: partial 16S ribosomal RNA
Rfam family: Bacterial small subunit ribosomal RNA
Source: RNAcentral